RNAcentral lists this ribosomal RNA (468 nucleotides) under uncultured bacterium. RNAcentral describes it as "partial 16S ribosomal RNA". It matches the Rfam family "Bacterial small subunit ribosomal RNA", at positions 28 to 507 of the family's 1533-position model. The record is from RNAcentral.
GACGAACGCUGGCGGCGUGCUUAACACAUGCAAGUCGAACGGAAAGGCCCUGCUUUUGUGGGGUGCUCGAGUGGCGAACGGGUGAGUAACACGUGAGUAACCUGCCCUUGACUUUGGGAUAACUUCAGGAAACUGGGGCUAAUACCGGAUAGGAGCUCCUGCCGCAUGGUGGGGGUUGGAAAGUUUCGGCGGUUGGGGAUGGACUCGCGGCUUAUCAGCUUGUUGGUGGGGUAGUGGCUUACCAAGGCUUUGACGGGUAGCCGGCCUAAGAGGGUGACCGGCCACAUUGGGACUGAGAUACGGCCCAGACUCCUACGGGAGGCAGCAGUGGGGAAUAUUGCACAAUGGGCGGAAGCCUGAUGCAGCAACGCCGCGUGCGGGAUGACGGCCUUCGGGUUGUAAACCGCUUUCGCCUGUGACGAAGCGUGAGUGACGGUAAUGGGUAAAGAAGCACCGGCUAACUACGUG